This is a long non-coding RNA of Salvator merianae (Argentine black and white tegu), 754 nucleotides long. The record is from Ensembl. Lineage: Eukaryota; Metazoa; Chordata; Lepidosauria; Squamata; Teiidae.
GGGGGGGGGAGGGUUGCCCGCCAGCCGGCCGGCCAGGAAGUUUGCCUUGCAGGGCGACCGCGCUUUUCCCUCUCCCCACUAAGCCUGUUACGGGCACAUUCUCAUAUCCUUAAACGUACAAGCAGAUAAUUGUUGGCGCUCUAUCUUUGUACGGAGGAGGCCAGGGUGUAAAUGCCUUUUAAUGACUGCAGCUGCUGGCUGAAAACUGUCAAUGGAAUUGGCUAAUACGGAGCCCCCGGAAAAAGAGAGAGAGAGAGAGAGAGAGAGAGAGAGAGAGAGAAAGAGAGUGGGGGGGAAGGAGCCGUUUUUGCUAGCGAAGCUUCUCCUCCUGAGCGCCGCAAGAGCCGAAGAGAGGGACUUGGCGAGGGAAGAAAGAAAGAAAGAAAGAAAGAAAGAAAGAAAGAAAGAAAGAAAGAAAGAAAGAAAUGGUGGAGAUGGAGAAACAAGAGCGAGCGAGUCAGCAAUUGGAGGAAAGAUCUCAGCCAGCUCCCUACCCUCCUCUUCACCAAGGCCGGGGAGCUCAAGUCAUCUUGACCCUGAAAAUCCUUUCCGGAUCCUCCAUAAGCAACCACUACAUCUGGAACCUUUUGCAUCCAAAGAUAGGUGGUACUACCAAGCUAUUGGCCUCUGCAGAUUUCUGCUGGCAGGUCCUGAACCACUGGGAAUGGGAAGUCUGAAUGGAGAAGACUGGAGCAAAGAGAGGAAUCCUGUACCCAGCCCCUCAGCUCCAGUUCACCAACCUCAAAUGACUUAG